UAGGGAAUCUUCCACAAUGGACGCAAGUCUGAUGGAGCAACGCCGCGUGAGUGAAGAAGGUUUUCGGACCGUAAAGCUCUGUUGUUGGUGAAGAAGGAUAGAGGUAGUAACUGGCCUUUAUUUGACGGUAAUCAACCAGAAAGUCACGGCUAACUACGUGCCAGCAGCCGCGGUAAUACGUAGGUGGCAAGCGUUGUCCGGAUUUAUUGGGCGUAAAGCGAGCGCAGGCGGAAGAAUAAGUCUGAUGUGAAAGCCCUCGGCUUAACCGAGGAAUUGCAUCGGAAACUGUUUUCUUGAGUGCAGAAGAGGAGAGUAGAACUCCAUGUGUAGCGGUGGAAUGCGUAGAUAUAUGGAAGAAUACCAGUGGCGAAGGCGGCUCUCUGGUCUGCAAACUGACGCUGAGGCUCGAAAAGCAUGGGUAGCGAACAGGAUUAGAUACCCUGGUAGUCCAUGCCGUAAACGAUGAGUGCUAAGUGUUGGGAGGCUUCCGCCUCUCAGUGCUGCAGCUAACGCAUUAAGCACUCCGCCUGGGGGAGUACGACCGC
RNAcentral lists this ribosomal RNA (545 nucleotides) under uncultured bacterium. RNAcentral's name for it is "partial 16S ribosomal RNA". It matches the Rfam family "Bacterial small subunit ribosomal RNA", at positions 355 to 889 of the family's 1533-position model. The record is from RNAcentral.